RNAcentral lists this ribosomal RNA (377 nucleotides) under uncultured bacterium. RNAcentral's name for it is "bacterial SSU rRNA". It matches the Rfam family "Bacterial small subunit ribosomal RNA", at positions 521 to 896 of the family's 1533-position model. The record is from RNAcentral.
UAAUACGUAGGUGGCAAGCGUUGUCCGGAUUUACUGGGCGUAAAGAGCGCGCAGGCGGUCGUUCAAGUCGCGUGUGAAAGCCCCCGGCUCAACUGGGGAGGGUCACGCGAUACUGAUCGACUCGAAGGCAGGAGAGGGUAGUGGAAUUCCCGGUGUAGUGGUGAAAUGCGUAGAUAUCGGGAGGAACACCAGUGGCGAAGGCGACUACCUGGCCUGUUCUUGACGCUGAGGCGCGAAAGCUAGGGGAGCAAACGGGAUUAGAUACCCCGGUAGUCCACGCCGUAAACGAUGGGCACUUGGUGUCGCGGGUAUCGACCCCUGCGGUGCCGAAGCUAACGCAUUAAGUGCCCCGCCUGGGGAGUACGGUCGCAAGGCUG